This 430-nucleotide ribosomal RNA is filed under the name Acidobacteriota bacterium. RNAcentral's name for it is "Acidobacteria bacterium partial 16S ribosomal RNA". It matches the Rfam family "Bacterial small subunit ribosomal RNA", at positions 355 to 776 of the family's 1533-position model. The record is from RNAcentral. Lineage: Bacteria; Pseudomonadati; Acidobacteriota.
UGGGGAAUAUUGGACAAUGGGCGAAAGCCUAAUCCAGCCAUGCCGCGUGUGUGAAGAAGGCCUUUUGGUUGUAAAGCACUUUAAGCGAGGAGGAGGCUACUUGGAUUAAUACUCUAGGAUAGUGGACGUUACUCGCAGAAUAAGCACCGGCUAACUCUGUGCCAGCAGCCGCGGUAAUACAGAGGGUGCGAGCGUUAAUCAGAUUUACUGGGCGUAAAGCGUGCGUAGGCGGCUUCUUAAGUCGGAUGUGAAAUCCCUGAGCUUAACUUAGGAAUUGCAUUCGAUACUGGGAAGCUAGAGUAUGGGAGAGGAUGGUAGAAUUCCAGGUGUAGCGGUGAAAUGCGUAGAGAUCUGGAGGAAUACCGAUGGCGAAGGCAGCCAUCUGGCCUAAUACUGACGCUGAGGUACGAAAGCAUGGGGAGCAAACAGG